RNAcentral lists this small nuclear RNA (98 nucleotides) under Peromyscus maniculatus bairdii (prairie deer mouse). Lineage: Eukaryota; Metazoa; Chordata; Mammalia; Rodentia; Cricetidae. The record is from RNAcentral.
GUGCUCACAUCAGCAGCACAUAUACUAAAAUUGUAAUGGUACAGAGAAGAUUAGACUUUGCCCUUUGUAUGUAUUCAUGUGUAUGAAAUCAUAUUUUA